AUUUAUAUAGUUUAAUAUUAAAACACUACACUUUCACUGUAGAAAUAAAUAAUUUAUUUUAUAAAUA
RNAcentral lists this transfer RNA (67 nucleotides) under Polyzosteria viridissima. RNAcentral describes it as "tRNA-Glu". It matches the Rfam family "tRNA". Rfam says of the family: Transfer RNA (tRNA) molecules are approximately 80 nucleotides in length. Their secondary structure includes four short double-helical elements and three loops (D, anti-codon, and T loops). Further hydrogen bonds mediate the characteristic L-shaped molecular structure. tRNAs have two regions of fundamental functional importance: the anti-codon, which is responsible for specific mRNA codon recognition, and the 3' end, to which the tRNAs corresponding amino acid is attached (by aminoacyl-tRNA synthetases). tRNAs cope with the degeneracy of the genetic code in two manners: having more than one tRNA (with a specific anti-codon) for a particular amino acid; and 'wobble' base-pairing, i.e. permitting non-standard base-pairing at the 3rd anti-codon position. The record is from RNAcentral. Lineage: Eukaryota; Metazoa; Arthropoda; Insecta; Blattodea; Blattidae.